Molecule: ribosomal RNA, 944 nt
Filed under: uncultured bacterium
Lineage: Bacteria
Description: bacterial SSU rRNA
Rfam family: Bacterial small subunit ribosomal RNA
Source: RNAcentral
AGAGUUUGAUCAUGGCUCAGAAUCAACGCUGGCGGCGCGCUUAACACAUGCAAGUCGCACGAGAAAGUGGAGCAAUCCAUGAGUACAGUGGCGUACGGGUGAGUAACACGUGGAUCAUCUACCUCUUGGUGGGGAAUAACCCUGGGAAACCGGGGCUAAUACCGCAUAAGCCUGCAAAGGGAAAGCAGCAAUGCGCCGAGAGAGGAGUCCGCGGCCGAUUAGCUGGUUGGUAGGGUAACGGCCUACCAAGGCAAUGAUCGGUAGCCGGCCUGAGAGGGCACACGGCCACACUGGCACUGAAACACGGGCCAGACUCCUACGGGAGGCAGCAGUGGGGAAUCUUGCACAAUGGGGGAAACCCUGAUGCAGCGACGCCGCGUGAGCGAUGAAGCCCUUCGGGGUGUAAAGCUCUUUCGGCAGGAACGAUUAUGACGGUACCUGCAGAAGAAGCUGCGGCUAACUACGUGCCAGCAGCCGCGGUAAUACGUAGGCAGCAAGCGUUGUUCGGAAUUACUGGGCGUAAAGAGUGUGUAGGCGGUUCUCUAAGUUCCGUGUGAAAUCUCCCGGCUUAACUGGGAGGGUGCGCGGGAAACUGGAGGGCUGGAGUAUGGGAGAGGAAAGCGGAAUUCCUGGUGUAGCGGUGAAAUGCGUAGAUAUCAGGAGGAACACCUGCGGUGUAGACAGCUUUCUGGACCAUCACUGACGCUGAGACACGAAAGCGUGGGUAGCAAACAGGAUUAGAUACCCUGGUAGUCCACGCCCUAAACGAUGCAUACUUGGUGUGAGCCGUUCAUUCGGUUCGUGCCGGAGCUAACGCGUUAAGUAUGCCGCCUGGGGAGUACGUCGCAAGCUGAACUCAAAGGAAUUGACGGGGCCCGCACAAGCGGUGGAGCAUGUGGUUCAAUUCGACGCAACGCGAAGAACCUUACCUGGGCUCGAACGGC